RNAcentral lists this ribosomal RNA (461 nucleotides) under uncultured bacterium. RNAcentral describes it as "partial 16S ribosomal RNA". It matches the Rfam family "Bacterial small subunit ribosomal RNA", at positions 338 to 795 of the family's 1533-position model. The record is from RNAcentral.
CCUACGGGUGACAGCAGUGAGGAAUAUUGGUCAAUGGGCGCGAGCCUGAACCAGCCAAGUAGCGUGAAGGAUGAAUGCCCUACGGGUUGUAAACUUCUUUUGUGCGGGAGCAAUAAUGGUCACUUGUGGCCAGAUGAGAGUACCGUAAGAAUAAGCAUCGGCUAACUCCGUGCCAGCAGCCGCGGUAAUACGGGGGAUGCAAGCGUUAUCCGGAUUUAUUGGGUUGAAAGGGUGCGGAGGCUGGGAGGUAAGUCAGCGGUGAAAGGCCCCCGGUCAACGGGGUGAAGUGCCAUUGAAACUGGCUUGCUGGAGUGCGGAUGGCGUGGGAGGAAUGUGUGGUGUAGCGGUGAAAUGCAUAGAUAUCACGCAGAACACCGAUUGCGAAGGCAUCUCACGGGUCCGCGAUUGACGCUGAUGCACGAAAGCGUGGGUAUCAAACAGGAUUAGAUACCCGAGUAGUC